ACGCUUACUUCGGGAGCUCAUAUGCUAAAAAUAGAACAGUACAGAGAAGAUGAGCAUGGCCCUCAUGUAAGGAUGUCAUGCAAAUUCAUUAAGCAUUUCAUAUUUUG
Small nuclear RNA from Otolemur garnettii (small-eared galago), 107 nucleotides. Lineage: Eukaryota; Metazoa; Chordata; Mammalia; Primates; Galagidae. The record is from Ensembl.